RNAcentral lists this ribosomal RNA (514 nucleotides) under uncultured bacterium. RNAcentral describes it as "partial 16S ribosomal RNA". It matches the Rfam family "Bacterial small subunit ribosomal RNA", at positions 28 to 523 of the family's 1533-position model. The record is from RNAcentral.
GAUGAACGCUGGCGGCGUGCCUAAUACAUGCAAGUCGAGCGAACAGAUGAGAAGCUUGCUUCUCUGAUGUUAGCGGCGGACGGGUGAGUAACACGUGGGUAACCUACCUAUAAGACUGGGAUAACUCCGGGAAACCGGGGCUAAUACCGGAUAAUAUUUUGAACCGCAUGGUUCAAUAGUGAAAGACGGUUUCGGCUGUCACUUAUAGAUGGACCCGCGCCGUAUUAGCUAGUUGGUAAGGUAACGGCUUACCAAGGCGACGAUACGUAGCCGACCUGGGAGGGUCAUCGGCCACACUGGAACUGAGACACGGUCCAGACUCCUACGGGAGGCAGCAGUAGGGAAUCUUCCGCAAUGGGCGAAAGCCUGACGGAGCAACGCCGCGUGAGUGAUGAAGGUCUUCGGAUCGUAAAACUCUGUUGUUAGGGAAGAACAAAUUUGUUAGUAACUGAACAAGUCUUGACGGUACCUAACCAGAAAGCCACGGCUAACUACGUGCCAGCCGCCGCGGUAA